This 513-nucleotide ribosomal RNA is filed under the name Boophis madagascariensis (Madagascar bright-eyed frog). RNAcentral's name for it is "partial 16S ribosomal RNA". It matches the Rfam family "Bacterial large subunit ribosomal RNA", at positions 1927 to 2606 of the family's 2925-position model. Lineage: Eukaryota; Metazoa; Chordata; Amphibia; Anura; Mantellidae. The record is from RNAcentral.
ACGGCCGCGGUACCCUAACCGUGCGAAGGUAGCAUAAUCACUUGUUCUUUAAAUGAGGACUCGUAUCAACGGCAUCACGAGGAUCCUACUGUCUCCCCCCUCUAAUCGGUGAAACUGAUCUCUCCGUGAAGAAGCGGAGAUGUACAUAUAAGACGAGAAGACCCCAUGGAGCUUUAAACCCAACAACACCCGCCCCCCUCCAAAUCCCAUUAUUUACCCGGUGACUGUUUGUUUGGUUUUAGGUUGGGGUGACCGCGGAGUAUAAGAUAUCCUCCAUGAAAAAAAGCUAACUGCCCUUAUUAGAGAAAGACACUUCCAAAAAAUAAUAAAUUAAUUUUAAAUGAUCCGACAUUCGAUCAACGAACCAAGUUACCCUGGGGAUAACAGCGCAAUCCGUCCCGAGAGCCCCUAUCGACAGGCGGGUUUACGACCUCGAUGUUGGAUCAGGGUAUCCCAGUGGUGCAGCAGCUACUAAAGGUUCGUUUGUUCAACGAUUAAAACCCUACGUGAUCU